ACAGUGCUGAUUGGAAGGAGACCAGAGAACCUCAGUCAGCUUUAAACUCUCUUAAACAUGAUUCAACAUGUAAGAAAACAUUCAGCUGCUCUGAGUGUGGCAGAAGAUUUGGCUUCAAGUCACAUCUGAAGAGACACAUGAGAACUCACACAGGAGAGAAGCCUUUUAGCUGCUCAGUUUGUAAUACAUAUUUUACACAGAGUGAACAUUUACAGAAACACAUGAUGACUCAUUCUGGAGAAAAACCUUUCAGCUGCUCGGUUUGUAAGAAAUCUUUUACACGGAGAGAACAUUUACAGAAACACAUGGUAGUCCACACAAGAGAGAAAAGAUUCAGCUGCAGUGUUUGUAACUAAAGAUUUGCCUGGCGUUCUCUUUCCAAAAAAGACAUUUGUGUUGGUCCGAUGGAAACAGAAGCUGAUGGAGAGGACUGUGGAGGACCAGAACCAGACAGGAACUCACAUCCACAUCCACUUUUACAACCAGAGACUGAAGUCCAGACUGGAGACUCUUCUGAACCUGAGACUGGUGACGUGGAAUAACGUUUGUGCCUAUAAGUUAGUAAAGGCAUGUGUCAUAUCCACUGCGCCAUCACCACCCGUCACGUUGAAUCGGUGGGUGGGCAGUCGGACUCAAUGACCAAGGCCAGUAAGGCCACAUACCAUGUUGUGUGUUUGUGUUUUAUGUGAUUUACGCCUACCAUCCACUAGAAGACUCUGAACAGACUUUGAAAAGACUACAGUCUGACACCAUCUCAAAUCUAAUGUUAAAGACUGUCAUAACAUGUAAAGACUGGAGAUCGUCAGGGUCACACAUUGUAAGACUACAACUAGAUUCGUUUUGAAAAAUUUAACCAAGCUAGCUAGCUACCGCUAGCGUUAGCUAGUAACUUAAAGGACAAUUCCGGUGCUAAAUAGGAGGUGUUUCUCAAUGUCAAGGAAGGAUCCUUCGAAGCCAGAAUUCGGAGGAUGCUACGUCCAUCGAAGGACUGUUCCAAUGUCGAGGAUCCUCCGAAUCCGAGUCCUUCGUUCGGAGAAUUUCCCAUAGACGACAAAGGAUGCAUAUGUGUAUCCUUCGCGCUCCCAAAUCACCCACAAUCCUAUGCGCGCGGCUUUGCCAGCUCGUUUAAAAAAAUUAAAUGGCGGACCUAAGCAGGAGUUGGAGCGGCAUCGCUGACGGCGAAAUAAUCAUUUAAAUGGACAAACGGAGGCAGUCACUGAGGAUGGGAAAGCAAAAGACAAGCAGGGAGACAAGAGGCCAAAGAGAGAUGAAUAGCUAGAUUAUUUGCUAAAGCCUAUUAGAGAUUGGCAUUCUGAAAAUAAAUAUAUUAAAUGAA
Perca fluviatilis (European perch) is the source of this 1336-nucleotide long non-coding RNA. RefSeq lists it as uncharacterized. The record is from RefSeq and is a predicted model, not a curated record. Lineage: Eukaryota; Metazoa; Chordata; Actinopteri; Perciformes; Percidae. The transcript has 2 exons.